RNAcentral lists this ribosomal RNA (419 nucleotides) under uncultured bacterium. Its description in RNAcentral is "bacterial SSU rRNA". It matches the Rfam family "Bacterial small subunit ribosomal RNA", at positions 221 to 632 of the family's 1533-position model. The record is from RNAcentral.
UUAGGGUGGCCGAUGUCUGAUUAGCUAGUUGGUGGGGUAAAGGCUUACCAAGGCGACGAUCAGUAGCUGGUCUGAGAGGACGAUCAGCCACACUGGGACUGAGACACGGCCCAGACUCCUACGGGAGGCAGCAGUGGGGAAUUUUGGACAAUGGGCGAAAGCCUGAUCCAGCCAUGCCGCGUGAGUGAAGAAGGCCUUCGGGUUGUAAAGCUCUUUCGGUCGGAAAGAAAUAUCUAUAGAAAAUAUCUAUAGAGGAUGACGGUACCGACAUAAGAAGCACCGGCUAACUACGUGCCAGCAGCCGCGGUAAUACGUAGGGUGCAAGCGUUAAUCGGAAUUAUUGGGCGUAAAGGGUGCGCAGGCGGUAUUGUAAGUCAGAUGUGAAAGCCCCGGGCUUAACCUGGGAAUUGCGUUUGAAA